This 1031-nucleotide long non-coding RNA is filed under the name Cairina moschata (Muscovy duck). Its description in RNAcentral is "domestica (muscovy Duck (domestic type)) lncRNA (ENSCMMG00000015125.1)". The record is from RNAcentral. Lineage: Eukaryota; Metazoa; Chordata; Aves; Anseriformes; Anatidae.
CCCCUCCAGAAUAAAAACCUUCUCACCAAAAUAACGCACUAAAUAGAGCCCGAAUCUAUACGUAAUCAAUACUGAUCUGGAACCAAUCUGUUCCUGGCUGGCUGCAUGCGGAUCCCAGGGCUGCAAGUGCUUGUGAUUACAUGGAGUGGGAGGGUCAUUUUCUAACAAGGGUGCUCACUGUAUCUGAGCUCCAAAUUAUCCAGAGAGGACAGAUGGCCCUUCUGAUCUUAUAAUGAGAGCAGGGAGUGAUUAUCAGUCUGAACCAAAAAAAUGAUGCUCUGCUGACAUAUUUUCACAGUUCUAAAAUCUGUGCUUGCACUUGUGCCUCGCUUCAUAUCCCUCUUCGUUUAAAUUAAGCAUCGUUUGGGAUUUUGGAGGGCUGUGUGAAAUCCGUUUAUUUAUCUCUGUCUGUGCGUCUCUGCCUCUCUCUCCAUGUAUCUAUCUAGGACAUGUGUACAGACACAAAACAAAGGAAAGCAAAAGGUCACUUCACAGGAACUCUUAAGCCAAAUCACGCUUGGCAAAAUAUUUAUAUAUAAAUAUAUUUGCCAAUAAUUAAGAAGCCCAGCUGCCUCCCGGAUGCCUAGAUUUUAUGCUUGCUUCUUGGCAGUUUUCUGGAGCUGUUGCAUUCCAUCUAGUUACUGUAACACACGGGUUGUCAGCCCUGACUCGAGCUCCUUAAAAAAAAAAAAAAAAAAAAGAUGUUGUUAUAUGUACUAUAUAUACAGACAUAUUUGAUUCACGUUUUGUUUAAUUUUUUUUUUUUUUUUUCCAGAAGUAUUUGUGGCAGAGAGCAGAAUCCCCUAUGGAGGACAAAUAAACUCAUGAUGGAUGAGGAGAAUACAAAGGAGGCCCAGAGAAGUUUCCAAAAUAGCUCUGGUGACUGCCAGGAGUCAGAUCUUCAUCCCUUCCCUGUUCAAGUCUCUCAGAGAACAGUGUUGGUGCUCUUCUGCUUUCUGUCUUGGAACACGUCCAGAAAUAGCAAAAUGCUGCAGAAGAGGCUGUUCACAGAGGAGGUCUGGGAGUACUGA